RNAcentral lists this long non-coding RNA (503 nucleotides) under Phoenix dactylifera (date palm). RNAcentral's name for it is "long non-coding RNA (PDAC_LNC003337)". Lineage: Eukaryota; Viridiplantae; Streptophyta; Magnoliopsida; Arecales; Arecaceae. The record is from RNAcentral.
GGAUAGCCUCCACGGGCUUACGCGUGGGAUAGCCUCUACGAGCUUAUGCGUAGGAUAGCCUCCACGGGCUUACGCGUGGGAUAGCUGCCACGAGCUUAUGCGUGGGAUUUGUGCAGUCUUGGACUGGGACAUGAUCUUGGUUAGUCCAACGCCAGAAAUGAAAAGUUUGAAAACUUUGGAAUUUGAGUAAUAUGGGAAUGGAUCACAUAAUGUGAAAAAGGAUUUGUGUAUAUGUACUAAUUACAUAUAUUUGUUGUUUGUUGAGCUUUUGAAAUGAUGAAAUGAUAUAUAUAUUUUGAUACUUGAUUAUUUUAUGAUUUUAUCGUGUGUGGCUGUUGGAAUUCUUACUGGGCUGGAAAAGCUCAUACUAUUCUUACUUUUUUUUUUCAGAGGCACUGGAUUUGUAGAGUCCAUCGGGUGGGACGAGAAAUGAGAUCAGCAUGGAGUCUGAUUGCUAGAUAGAUAGGAGUUAAUCUAUCUUUUAUUUAUGGACAUUUGAAAUU